Molecule: small RNA, 729 nt
Filed under: Pan troglodytes (chimpanzee)
Lineage: Eukaryota; Metazoa; Chordata; Mammalia; Primates; Hominidae
Description: processed transcript
Source: RNAcentral
AUGGCCCUGGAUUAUCUGCUACUGCUCCUCCUGGCAUCCGCAGUGGCUGCGAUGGAAGAAACGUUAAUGGACACCAGAACGGCUACUGCAGAGCUGGGCUGGACGGCCAAUCCUGCGUCAGGGUGGGAAGAAGUCAGUGGCUACGAUGAAAACCUGAACACCAUCCGCACCUACCAGGUGUGCAAUGUCUUCGAGCCCAACCAGAACAAUUGGCUGCUCACCACCUUCAUCAACCGGCGGGGGGCCCAUCGCAUCUACACAGAGAUGCGCUUCACUGUGAGAGACUGCAGCAGCCUCCCUAAUGUCCCAGGAUCCUGCAAGGAGACCUUCAACUUGUAUUACUAUGAGACUGACUCUGUCAUUGCCACCAAGAAGUCAGCCUUCUGGUCUGAGGCCCCCUACCUCAAAGUAGACACCAUUGCUGCAGAUGAGAGCUUCUCCCAGGUGGACUUUGGGGGAAGGCUGAUGAAGCUUGCCCUGCAGGGACAUUCAAGGCCAGCCAGGAAGCUGAAGGCUGCUCCCACUGCCCCUCCAACAGCCGCUCCCCUGCAGAGGCAUCUCCCAUCUGCACCUGUCGGACCGGUUAUUACCGAGCGGACUUUGACCCUCCAGAAGUGGCAUGCACUAGCGUCCCAUCAGGUCCCCGCAAUGUUAUCUCCAUCGUCAAUGAGACGUCCAUCAUUCUGGAGUGGCACCCUCCAAGGGAGACAGGUGGGCGGGAUGAUGUGA